This is a non-coding RNA of Arabidopsis thaliana (thale cress), 126 nucleotides long. The record is from RefSeq. NCBI's taxonomy places the organism in Eukaryota, Viridiplantae, Streptophyta, Magnoliopsida, Brassicales, Brassicaceae.
UCAUCUAUUCUUACUUUUCAAGGAACGGAUUUUGUUAACUAAAUGAUUCACACCCUUGAAGAAACACGAUCUCGUGUGAAUCAUUUCGUUAACAAAAUCCGUCUUUGAAGAGUAAGUAUAUUGUGA